UUCCUCCUGGAUACUCAUGACGGGACCCACCUCUCACUACCAUUGGGUAGUAGUCGGGUUUGUAGAGAAGCUAAUCAGCGUCGCCGCGUUCCCGGCUGUAAAGCCCCACGGACCCACAGAGAUUGAGUCUCCCCGGACCCAAAGAAUGCGGGCUCUGUCGCCCCGAGCCCUCCUCCUGCUGCUCUCGGGGACCCUGGCCCUGACCGAGGCCCGGGCGGGCUCCCACUCCCUGAGGUAUUUCUACACCUCCGUGUCACGGCCCGGCCGCGUGGAGCCCCGGCACAUCGCCGUGGGCUACGUGGACGACACGCCGUUCGUGCGGUUCGACAGCGACGCGGCGAGUCCGAGGAUGGAGCCGCGGGCGCCGUGGAUGGAGCAGGAGGGCCCGGAGGAUUGGGACCGGGAGACACAGAUCCAAAAGGGGAACGCGCAGAUAUCCCGAGUGAACCUGCGGACCCUGCUCGGCUACUACAACCAGAGCGAGGUCACGGCCCUUUUCAUCCCCCACGGACGGCCUGGGUGGUCCGAGUCUCCCGGCCCGAGAUUCACCCCGAGUCUGAGGGACCAGCCGAGACCCCCGACUCGGGAAGAGCCUCAGGCGACUUUCACCUGGUUUCACUUUCAGUUUAGACCAAACUCCUCGUGGGCAGGCCAGGGAGGGAGCGGGGUCGAGCGUGCGGGGCUGACAGCGAGGCGGGCUCAGGGUCUCACACCAUCCAGAGGAUGCACGGCUGCGACGUGGGGCCGGACCGGAGCCUCCUCCACGGCUACACACAGCACGCCUACGACGGCGCCGACUACCUCGCCCUGAACGAGGACCUGCGCUCCUGGACCGCGGCGGACACGGCGGCUCAGAUCACCCAGCGCAAGUGGGAGGAGGCCCGGGCUGCAGAGGACCAGAAGGCCUACCUGGAGGGGGAGUGUGUGAAGAUGCUGCUCAGAUACCUGGAGAAUGGGAAGGGGACACUGCAGCGCACGGAUCCCCCAAAGACACAUAUGACCCACAACACCAGCCCUGAUGGGGACGUCACCCUGCGGUGCUGGGCCCUGGGCUUCUACCCUGCAGAGAUCACACUGACCUGGCAGCGGGAUGGGGAAGACCAAACUCAGGACAUGGAGCUUGUGGAGACCAGGCCUUCAGGGGAUGGAACUUUCCAGAAGUGGGCGGCUGUGGUGGUACCUCCUGGAGAGGAGCAGAGAUACACAUGCCUUGUGCAGCAUGAGGGGCUGCCAGAGCCCCACACCCUGAGAUGGGAGCCAUCUUCCCAGACCAUCCCCCUCAUUGUGGGAAUCCUUGUUGGCCUGGUUUUCCUUGGAGCUGUGGUCACUGGAGCUGUGAUAUGGAGGAAGAGCUCAGGUGAAAAUGGAGGGAGCUACUCUCAGGCUGCAACGUGACACAGCUGUCUUGUGUGGGACUGAGUGAUAGAAGAAUGUUCAUGCCUCCCCUUUGUGACUUCAAGAGCCUCUGACUUCUCUUUCUACAAAGGGCGUUUGAAUGUGUCUGUGUUACUGUUAGCAUAAUGUGAAAAUGUAGGGAGAGGAGCCCACCCCCGUAUCCACAUUGACCCCUUUCCUCACCCUGACCUGUGUGCCUUCCCUCUUCAUCUUUCCUUUUCUGAGGAGGGGGAGCGCGGGAGGAAGGGCUCCGAGGUGUCUCUAUCCCUGUCUCUACUUCAUGAUGUGCUAAAACUUCUUACAUUCCUAAUGAAAGUAGGAAUCCAAAUAUAAAUUUGUGUUUCAAAAUCUUGCCAUGAGAGGUUGAUGAGCUAACUAAAGAAGGUUCCUAAAACCUGAGAGAGGAAAUAAAUGGAAGACCUGAGAACCUUCCAGAAUCCACAUGUUUACUGAACUAAGUCUAUUGCAGGUUUGGAAGGGGAAGUCUGUGAGGAGCCCAGUGUGAGAGGGGCCUGUGCCCAAUUGGUGCUCAGUUUAUUAUGCAUUUUGACAUGGACACUCCUCAGUUGUCAUCUUUACUGCUCUGCUGUCCUUGAGCCCUCAGUAAAACCUUGUCCCAGCAGGACUUGUAACCACAGAGACUCAGACCUCACCCAGGGUGACCCCUUUACAAAGGUAUCUCUGUGGUAUCAAAAGACAAAUUUUCAGACCUGUCUAGUUCUUGCCAUCCUUCAAGGGCUCUUUCCUGGGUUAUAUUUUUCAUCUUUUAUUCAGCCUUUUUAUUAUUUUAUUUUGUAUUUCUUUCCAAUUUUGAUGGAUACAUAACAAUUGUAUAUAUUUAUGGGGUACUUGUGAUAUUUGAUAUAAGCAUAUGAUAUGUAAUGAUAAAAUCUGGGUAAUUAGGAUA
Molecule: RNA transcript, 2302 nt
Organism: Carlito syrichta (Philippine tarsier)
Lineage: Eukaryota; Metazoa; Chordata; Mammalia; Primates; Tarsiidae
Gene name: class I histocompatibility antigen, Gogo-OKO alpha chain-like
Exons: 7
Source: RefSeq, a predicted model, not a curated record